GUGGGGAAUAUUGGACAAUGGGCGAAAGCCUGAUCCAGCCAUGCCGCGUGAGUGAUGAAGGCCUUAGGGUUGUAAAGCUCUUUCAGUAGGGAAGAUAAUGACGGUACCUACAGAAGAAGCCCCGGCUAACUUCGUGCCAGCAGCCGCGGUAAUACGAAGGGGGCUAGCGUUGUUCGGAAUUACUGGGCGUAAAGCGCACGUAGGCGGAUAUUUAAGUCAGGGGUGAAAUCCCAGAGCUCAACUCUGGAACUGCCUUUGAUACUGGGUAUCUCGAGUAUGGAAGAGGUGAGUGGAAUUCCGAGUGUAGAGGUGAAAUACGUAGAUAUUCGGAGGGACACCAGUGGCGAAGGCGGCUCACUGGUCCAUUACUGACGCUGAGGUGCGAAAGCGUGGGGAGCAAACAGGAUUAGAAACCCUUGUAGUCC
This 425-nucleotide ribosomal RNA is filed under the name uncultured bacterium. RNAcentral describes it as "partial 16S ribosomal RNA". It matches the Rfam family "Bacterial small subunit ribosomal RNA", at positions 354 to 796 of the family's 1533-position model. The record is from RNAcentral.